Molecule: long non-coding RNA, 1842 nt
Filed under: Sus scrofa (pig)
Lineage: Eukaryota; Metazoa; Chordata; Mammalia; Artiodactyla; Suidae
Description: lncRNA (ENSSSCG00015067167.1)
Source: RNAcentral
CCAUCUCCACUUUAUACAUGUGGAAACGAAUAUUCAAAGAAUCAAGUCCAAAAUCACACAGCUGCUAAGUAAUUUGGCUGGCAAGAAGAGGAAUUAUGAUCAAACUCCAAAACCGAAGUGUUUGUCACUAUACCCCAGGCCUGAGACAGGUUAAACCUAGGAGGAAGGGUUCUCUCUGAGGGAUAAAAAUCGGAACUUGUCCACUUGGCUUGUUGUUUUUGCAUAUAGUAAUGGAAAGACCCACCGACUAGCUGUGAGAACUUGGGUGAGUCUCUCAAACAUCCUGAGGCUGUUUACUCAUCUGCAAAAUGGACACAAAAACACCUGCUGUGCGCUUUUCACGGGUGGUGGUCAGAGUGAUGUGAGAAACAGUACGCAGCAGAGCGCUGUAAAACUGUCAAGUGCUCGACAGUGUCGGGUUGGAUGUGUGCUCUGGGGCAGGCCUCACUUUUCCUUGGUUGCGUCCAGCGGCUCAGCCAAAGGAGUCUAUUGGGGAAGUUAAGUGCACCUUCUGGGUUCAAGUCCAAUGUCCAACACAUUCUGCCAUUUCCUGGUGGAAUGAUAUCGGGCAGGUCACAAUCCUCUAAUUUGGGAAGAGUGCUGUCUACCUCAGGAAGUUCUUGUGAAGAUAAAAUGUGGUGAGUGUCUUUUUAAAAAUUUAUUUCUUUAUUAAAAUACAGUUGAUUUACAAUGUUGUGCCAAUUUCUGCUGUACACCAAAGUGACCCAGUCAUAUAUAUAUAUAUAUAUAUAUAUAUAUAUAUAUAUAUAUAUAUACACACACACAUUAUUUUUCUCAUAUUGUGUUCUAUCCCAAGAGAUUGGCUGCAGUUCCCUGUGCUAUACAGUAGGUGAGUGUUUUUGGUGGCAUUUUAUUGGCUACAAUACAGAUCCCCAGAGAAGUUAACUUCCUCUUCUGCCCCCCACCCCCACCUCCACCCCCAGCGAGUUAGCAGCCGGGCUGGGGAAGCAGUCAGGCAUCCCGUCUCUGGCCUAGGGCUCUUUCUACUCAGCCACGUGGAGCACCAACUCCACACUGAAAUAAUUUUCAGGUCACAAGUGAUUUUUGUAUGCAUGACCUCUUUAGCUUGCACUUCUCUGUCAAAUCCACACAUUAUCAAGCUCAGAAGUCUGAAGAAAACAUUUAUGUAGGAACUUCUGGAAAAUUGGUUUAGGUCUGGGGUGGCCUGAGGAGACCUAAAAAGAUAUGCGUGAUGGGGGAGGGGGGAAGACACCCUUUCACACCCCCUUCAGUUGUGGACAUGUAGAUUAUUUACUUUGUGGAUUGAUGUAACUCAAUCUUUAAUCCCAUGUUGGCUACGCUUUACCACUCCCCUCCACCAUCAGUGGGUGUGUGCUCAAGCAAUGUAAACUCAGGAAAGUAAUGCAAAACCGGGAAAGUAAAUCUACUUGUUGCAUCUUUCACCCACAUCAGCCUCCUCCACUCUUUUUAUUUCACCCCUCUCAACCAUUAGAAAACCAGAGAUAAAUGCUUUUUCAGUUUUCUUUGCUCAACUCCCAUUAUAGAACCAAUCGAAAGACAACUGGGCUAGAAGUCAGGAAGUCAGUGGCUUUAGGGAUGGCAUUGGUUAAUCACAGGCCCUCAGCAAGUUAGAUCAGUUCUUCAGGCUUUCGUUCCUCAUCUGUAAAACAUCAAAACAAAGCAAACAAAAACAAAAACAAAAAACGAAAGGAGAAUUCACAAGUCCCUCCUCUUUGCAUAGUACCUUCAGUUAUGUCCCUUUAUUUAGUACUUUUAAAAAACCCUGCUGGGUAAAAAUUUUGAUCUGCAUUAUGCAAAUGAAGAAAAUAAAGGGGCAGAGAAGCUAAGUAAAUUGCCCCA